RNAcentral lists this ribosomal RNA (1363 nucleotides) under Bradysia amoena. RNAcentral's name for it is "16S ribosomal RNA". The stretch from base 1094 to 1252 matches the Rfam family "Archaeal large subunit ribosomal RNA", at positions 2544 to 2703 of the family's 2987-position model. Lineage: Eukaryota; Metazoa; Arthropoda; Insecta; Diptera; Sciaridae. The record is from RNAcentral.
AUUCAUUGUCAUUGUCGUUAAAAAUAAUUAUUUUAUUUUUAUUUAUAAUUUAUUUAAUAAAAAUAAUUUAAAUUUAAUUUUGUUUAGUAUUUUAUAUAAAAAAAAUAUUAUAAGAUUUAUAUAAAUUUGUAUAGUAAUAGAUUAUUGAAAUAGUUGAAAAAUUAUUAAUUAAUAAGAAAAUUUAUUUUAUUGUACCUUGUGUAUCAGGGUUUAUUAAAUAAAAUAUUCUGAUAUAAUCAUAUUUCUCGAAUUUAAGAAAUCUAUAAAUUUACUUAUUUUAUUGUAUUAAAAAUAUUAUAUAUAAAAUUAUAGAAAUGAAACGUUAUUCGUUCUUAAAUAUAUCUAGUUUUUUUAGAAAUAAAUUUAAUUUAUAAAUUUAUUAUUAAAUAAAAUAAUUAAUUAUUUUAUUUAAGUUUAAAUUUAAAUUUUUAAAGGGAUAAGCUUUUAAAGAUAUUUUGUAAUAAAUUUUAGUAAUUUAUUAAAAAUAUAGACUUAGAAAUAGUUAUUAAUAAUAAUUAUGUAAUAAUUUAUUAAUAAAUUAAUAAUUAUUUAUUAUAUUUUUACUUUUUAUAAAAAAUUAUAUUUUUAAUUAUUUAAUUUAUUAAAUAAUGAUAAAAUUAGUAUAAUAAAUAAUUUUAUAAAUAAAAAUUUAUUAAAGAAAUUAAUUUAAAGAAUUCGGCAAAUUUAAUUUUCACCUGUUUAUCAAAAACAUGUCUUUUUUGUUAAAUAUAAAGUCUAACCUGCCCAUUGAAUAAUUUAAAAGGCUGCGGUAUUUUGACCGUACAAAGGUAGCAUAAUCACUAGUUUUUUAAUUGAAAACUUGUAUGAAUGGUUGAAUGAGAAAUUUACUUUUUUUAAAAAAAUAUUGAAUUUUACUUUUUAGUUAAAAGGCUAAAAUAUUUUUAAAAGACGAGAAGACCCUAUAGAGUUUAAUAAUUAAUUAAUUAUAAUUUAAUAGGUUUAUUUUUAUUAAUAAUUAAUAAAAUAUUUUGUUGGGGUGAUAAUAAAAUUUAAUUAACUUUUAUUUUAUACAACCAUUAAUAUAUGAAUAUUUGAUCCAUAAUUUAUGAUUAAAAAUUUAAAUUACCUUAGGGAUAACAGCGUAAUUUUUUUUUAAGUUCAUAUUAAUAAAAGAUUUUGCGACCUCGAUGUUGGAUUAAGAUUAAAUUUUAGGUGCAGCAGCUUAAGUUUUAAGUCUGUUCGACUUUUAAAUUCUUACAUGAUCUGAGUUCAAACCGGUGUGAGCCAGGUUGGUUUCUAUCUUUAAAUUUAAUUUAAGUAUUUUAGUACGAAAGGAUUAAAUACUUUAUAAAUUAUAAUUUAUUUUAAAAAGAAUAAUUUUAAUUAAUAGUAUUAAAUUGUU